CCUACGGGAGGCAGCAGUGGGGGAUAUUGCACAAUGGGCGCAAGCCUGAUGCAGCGACGCCGCGUGGAGGAAGAAGGUUUUCGGAUUGUAAACUGCUGUCUUCAGGGACGAUAAUGACGGUACCUGAGGAGGAAGCCACGGAUAAAUACGGGCCAGCAGCCGCGGUAAUACGUAGGUGGCAAGCGUUGUCCGGACGUACUGGGUGAAAAGGGAGCGUAGGCGGGACAGCAAGUCCAGUGUGAAAUCUAUCGCCUCACCCGAUAACUGCGCUGGAUACUGUUGUGCUUGAGUGAAGUAGAGGCAGGCAGAAUUCCUAGUGUAGCGGUGAAAUGCGUAGAUAUUAGGAGGAACACCAGUGGCGAAGGCGGCCUGCUGGACUUUUACUGACGCUGAGGCUCGAAAGUGUGGGUAGCAAACAGGAUUAGAUACCCCAGUAGUC
This 439-nucleotide ribosomal RNA is filed under the name uncultured bacterium. RNAcentral's name for it is "partial 16S ribosomal RNA". It matches the Rfam family "Bacterial small subunit ribosomal RNA", at positions 338 to 795 of the family's 1533-position model. The record is from RNAcentral.